The sequence is a small nuclear RNA, 214 nucleotides long. It matches the Rfam family "U2 spliceosomal RNA". Rfam says of the family: U2 is a small nuclear RNA (snRNA) component of the spliceosome (involved in pre-mRNA splicing). The record is from Rfam.
GUAUCUGGUAUGCUUUCAUCCAAAUCGGGACAUCUGGAUGCAGUUGCUGACCUCUACUUCCAGUUCUUUUCAGUUUAAUCUCUGAAACGUCACUACGGUGACAUUCUAUGAUUAUACUUAUUUUUGGACCUCCGCCGGUGGCCGCUGAGCUUGCUCAUGUCAUUGACGACCGUGUCGCCAGUAUUGCACUGCCUCUGGCUGACGCGAACUACUU